AACUGAUACUACCUGCGGGAACCUGCGGAAGGAUCAUUAAAAAACCUUUGCCCGCGGACCCUGGGUCCAAGGCGCAAAACCCACACUAUGUGCACUGUUAUCGUUCUUUUGGCAGGGGCUUGGGGUGUCUUCCAACUUGGGGAACCUCAACUUCUCGUCUAGCUCUAUCCACCUCGGACAGCUGGACAUGAGAAGCAGUUACUCUGCCAAGUGACCCUUAAAAACACGCUUUUUUGUCUG
RNAcentral lists this unclassified non-coding RNA (240 nucleotides) under soil metagenome. RNAcentral's name for it is "partial contains 5.8S ribosomal RNA, internal transcribed spacer 2, and large subunit ribosomal RNA". The record is from RNAcentral.